GUAUAGCUCAAGUGGUAGAGCACAUGCUUAGCUUACAUGAGGUUCUGGGUUCAAUCCCCAGUAC
This 64-nucleotide transfer RNA is filed under the name Camelus bactrianus (Bactrian camel). It matches the Rfam family "tRNA", at positions 5 to 66 of the family's 71-position model. Rfam says of the family: Transfer RNA (tRNA) molecules are approximately 80 nucleotides in length. Their secondary structure includes four short double-helical elements and three loops (D, anti-codon, and T loops). Lineage: Eukaryota; Metazoa; Chordata; Mammalia; Artiodactyla; Camelidae. RNAcentral also lists the same sequence under 2 other names. The record is from Rfam by way of RNAcentral.